AGUAAAAUGGCUGAGGUAAGCGAUAAAUUGUAAAUUUAUUUACGAAGGAUUCUUCUUUUACU
RNAcentral lists this transfer RNA (62 nucleotides) under Staphylinoidea sp. 3 KM-2017. Its description in RNAcentral is "tRNA-Tyr". It matches the Rfam family "tRNA". Rfam says of the family: Transfer RNA (tRNA) molecules are approximately 80 nucleotides in length. Their secondary structure includes four short double-helical elements and three loops (D, anti-codon, and T loops). The record is from RNAcentral. Lineage: Eukaryota; Metazoa; Arthropoda; Insecta; Coleoptera.